AGUAAUUACAUUUAGUUAGAAAUGCGUGCAGCAGCACAUAAUAUUGAGUCAAUUGCAAUUUUAGUUCACAUCCGGGAAGGAGACAAACCCAUUUUCUCGAACCAGGCCCAGUACGUGCCAUCUACUAAACUGGGCCCCUAGAGUUAGGGGUGUUAGCAGGCCUGAAAACUCGAUCAUAAUGACAUCGACUGGGGCAGCCAAAACUUGGGCCUUAUCAUCUCGCAGAUCCCCAAAAAUUGCUGGGCUGGACGAAAACCUCCCCGUGCUUUGCAGUCUGCACAUCAGCACAUCCCGUCGCUAGCCGGCGCCGCCGCACCGCUGCACAGAUCGCACCACCCGCCGCCCUAUCGCGCGCUACCGCCUGCUCGCAUCAGCACUAGACGACGACCAGGGCGAAGGACAAAUCAGGAAGCAGAACGGAUUUGCAACGCGCCCCACCGUCUUCCAUGCUUGACACAACUGAUUACAAUGGACAAUCCUGUUUGCACAAUGCAAUUCUUCACGAGGAAGAAGAGGAGCCUAUAGGCUAGCCGUGCAGUGCAGAUAGUAACUUUGAUAGGACGAAUCGGCGAUGCUUGUAAAUUUUGCAGGAAGGGAAAGUCAGGUUCAACACAGAUUUCAUUUAUGAUUUUGCAUGACAAACAAGAGUGGUAUCAUCAUCAAUCUCAAUGAUUGGUACAUGUGCAAUUUUACACCAAUCUUUUCCACUGUUUUCUUGGCAACUCUCUGUCAGAAAAGGGCAUUCUUUGAUGUACAAUUCUUUCAAUGAUUUUGGAAGACGCGC
Brachypodium distachyon (stiff brome) is the source of this 784-nucleotide long non-coding RNA. RefSeq lists it as uncharacterized. The record is from RefSeq and is a predicted model, not a curated record. The transcript has 3 exons. NCBI's taxonomy places the organism in Eukaryota, Viridiplantae, Streptophyta, Magnoliopsida, Poales, Poaceae.